Molecule: transfer RNA, 81 nt
Filed under: Alistipes sp.
Lineage: Bacteria; Pseudomonadati; Bacteroidota; Bacteroidia; Bacteroidales; Rikenellaceae
Description: tRNA-Asn
Rfam family: tRNA (bases 1-67)
About the family: Transfer RNA (tRNA) molecules are approximately 80 nucleotides in length. Their secondary structure includes four short double-helical elements and three loops (D, anti-codon, and T loops).
Source: RNAcentral
UAGCUCAGUUGGUUAGAGCACAUGACUAUUAAUCAUGCUGUCCUAGGUUAAAGAACUUGUUAAAGCGAAUAUGCUCUAGGG